Lolium rigidum is the source of this 1803-nucleotide long non-coding RNA. RefSeq lists it as uncharacterized. The transcript has 3 exons. NCBI's taxonomy places the organism in Eukaryota, Viridiplantae, Streptophyta, Magnoliopsida, Poales, Poaceae. The record is from RefSeq and is a predicted model, not a curated record.
GUCAAGGGGCACCACCGUAGACGAGCACUCGCCCUAGCGACACACCGCUGCUUCUGGAGACGGCGGCAUGGCUGUAGGGCUGUAGGUGGGAGCGCCUUGGAUAGGACGGAAACAAGAGGAGGCUACACGGCCGACCUUCCUGGGUUUAAGCCCCAAUCUUUGUAGCAAAUGAUUUCAGAGGAGGAAGAGCUUGGAGUGGAGGUCCGUUUCUCUGAAGUCAAUGGGUUUCAGUGGUGGAAGACUUUAGAGCGGAGGGUGGGUACGGAUCCUAGAGGUGGAGGAGCACAUGGAAUGGAAAUGGAGAGACCAUGAGCACAUCUGCACAUGGCAUAGAGACGGAAUGGAGUGGUGGUCCAGUUUCUCUUCCUCCCCAUUCUUCUCCAGCGAUUUACUUUUUUAUCUAUAAGGUUUAUUAUUUAGUGAAGACCUGCAAAUCUAUUUCAUUCCUAGGAGUUUUUUUUUACAUAACAUCUGAUUAUUUUUUCCCUGUGUUAUUUGCAUCAGCGGUGUUUGAUGCCAUUAAACCUAAGCUGGUUUGUCUCAUAAUUUGAUUUGAGGAAUCAUAUGAUAGUUUAUCCUGAUUUUAGCAACCUGAUUAGACAUAAGCAACACUGUUUUCUAAUACAUGAUGCAACUUUAGUGAAUUCACGAAUCUUUCCCUUGAAUGUGAUUAAUGUCUGUCAGGCUGACAGUCAUUGCACUUAUUUUUUAUUGUACAGAGGUCAAGUCCCUAGAAAAUGAAAACGAGUUGCUUGAGCGAAACAAAAUUGAUUGAAUGGAAACAUGGGCAGGCUGCUCCAUUCAAGGGAGUUUGCUUGAUGUCGCUUCUACUGUAUCAUUUGUCACAGCAAUAGUAAGAUCCUUAAAACUAAAAGUCAUCAGAGAUCAUUUGACAUGCUUGAAAGAAUUUGUGUUACUGAUUACUAGAAGUUAAAUCUCCAUAUUUUUUUUAUUAUGGUUUCUGGAGUUAAAUAGGAUAUUUAUUCAAACUAUAUUCCAUUUUAUUUUCUUGCAUUAUAUAUGAUCUUCUCAUCAUCAUAAGACAUCCUGGCUUACAGAAUGGUGAUGAGUUGUCUAACAUGAGAAGAGACUAGAGAACAGUACCAUGGAAAAUACCAGGAAUGCCGGUGAGUCAUCACGGCAUUUUCUCCACCAAGGUUGGUUCAGGCAUUUUCUUGGCGUCUCCCUGCCAAGGUGCUUAAGAUGUGCUAUGGUUGACUGGUAAAGCUUAAUGUUUAUAAUUUUUUCUGGGUUUGUUUCUCUCGCUGGACGUCAAGUGUAGGUUAGGCUAUACUUUUCAGAACAUACUAGCCAUUUUUGGGUGUUCCUUGAGGUACAUCUAAAACAAUGUGUGCUCACAGAUGAGAUGGAGCUUGGGAUUCUUUUUUAGGAACAGUUGUCCUUUUCCAAAAGAGGUCAUUUAAGAUUAGACUCUAGACAGAUGAUUGAUGCUUCAGGAUAAUGAAGAUGCUAUAGUUAGCAUAGACAAUGGUACUUGGUAGAGAAAAAGUAUCAACAUUUGUUCCUGCUCCAAUAGUUAUCUGUGGUGUCAUGUAUUUUGUUCAUUUCUUUACCAAGAUGCUAAUAUGUAUUUUGUUCAUUUAAGCUGCUAUGAAGCUGGUUCCCCAUCUGAGUGCCCUUUUGAGAUUGAUGCUGAAGAGGCAGGGAGGGAUAUGUUGUGGGGAAGAAGUGAUGGUGAGGGAUAAUGAAUAAAUGAACUCCGACUUCCUGCUGUAGAACCACUCCCACAACGCCCUCUUCUAAGUUAGCUACUACCUCCCCAAGAGAUGCAACAUCAAGCCA